UCCACUUCCCCGCUCUGUGCCUGGGGAUACGGUAUUUUUGGCACAAUGGCGAGAACCAGAUCCGAGUUCGCUCGACCCCACUCCCAUUUUCUCUUCCUACGGAACAUCAAUGCGUGUAAACAUGACUUCAUAGCGGCUGCACUCUUCAUACGUCCUGUCCUUUCUCAGCCACAAGGCACAGCGCGAUAGGCAGGCGACGAAAAUGUUACACCGCUAAGAGAAUUCAUGUAAGCAUUUAUUUGAGGUAAGCCCUCCUAAUUAAGUCAACUUUAACACAGACACACAAAUGGCAGCAUGCAUGCAUAUGUGUCUGGCGUCUCGACUACGUCUGGUGAGCCCAAAGGAAGUCAGGCAGCAGCGGGCCAAGGAGACAGCUAAUAAAUUCAGUCUCUCCCUUCUGUAACCUCUCGGU
RNAcentral lists this long non-coding RNA (412 nucleotides) under Felis catus (domestic cat). RNAcentral's name for it is "lncRNA (ENSFCAG00000045188.2)". Lineage: Eukaryota; Metazoa; Chordata; Mammalia; Carnivora; Felidae. The record is from RNAcentral.